Molecule: transfer RNA, 86 nt
Filed under: Blautia sp.
Lineage: Bacteria; Bacillati; Bacillota; Clostridia; Lachnospirales; Lachnospiraceae
Also listed under: 2 other names
Description: tRNA-Leu
Rfam family: tRNA
About the family: Transfer RNA (tRNA) molecules are approximately 80 nucleotides in length.
Source: RNAcentral
GCCGCAGUGGCGGAACAGGCAGACGCACAGGACUUAAAAUCCUGCGGGGCUUACCCCCCGUACGGGUUCGAUUCCCGUCUGCGGCA